Molecule: unclassified non-coding RNA, 253 nt
Filed under: uncultured Rhodobacterales bacterium
Lineage: Bacteria; Pseudomonadati; Pseudomonadota; Alphaproteobacteria; Rhodobacterales
Description: contains 16S-23S intergenic spacer region
Rfam family: Bacterial small subunit ribosomal RNA
Source: RNAcentral
UACGGAGGGGGUUAGCGUUGUUCGGAAUUACUGGGCGUAAAGCGUACGUAGGCGGAUCAGAAAGUAUAGGGUGAAAUCCCAGGGCUCAACCCUGGAACUGCCUUAUAAACUCCUGGUCUUGAGUUCGGGAGAGGAUGGUGGAAUUCCCAGUGUAGAGGUGAAAUUCGUAGAUAUUGGGAAGAACACCGGUGGCGAAGGCGGCCUUCUGGACUGACACUGACACUGAGGUGCGAAAGCGUGGGUAGCAAACAGG